GAUUUUUGGAACUAGGAGUUGGAAUA
This 26-nucleotide non-coding RNA is filed under the name Drosophila erecta. The record is from RNAcentral. Lineage: Eukaryota; Metazoa; Arthropoda; Insecta; Diptera; Drosophilidae. RNAcentral also lists the same sequence under 3 other names.